RNAcentral lists this ribosomal RNA (465 nucleotides) under Vreelandella stevensii. Its description in RNAcentral is "partial 16S ribosomal RNA". It matches the Rfam family "Bacterial small subunit ribosomal RNA", at positions 338 to 795 of the family's 1533-position model. Lineage: Bacteria; Pseudomonadati; Pseudomonadota; Gammaproteobacteria; Oceanospirillales; Halomonadaceae. The record is from RNAcentral.
CCUACGGGUGGCAGCAGUGGGGAAUAUUGGACAAUGGGCGAAAGCCUGAUCCAGCCAUGCCGCGUGUGUGAAGAAGGCCUUCGGGUUGUAAAGCACUUUCAGUGGGGAAGAAAGCCUUGGGGCUAAUACCCUCGAGGAAGGACAUCACCCACAGAAGAAGCACCGGCUAACUCCGUGCCAGCAGCCGCGGUAAUACGGAGGGUGCGAGCGUUAAUCGGAAUUACUGGGCGUAAAGCGCGCGUAGGCGGUCUGAUAAGCCGGUUGUGAAAGCCCCGGGCUCAACCUGGGAACGGCAUCCGGAACUGUCCGGCUAGAGUGCAGGAGAGGAAGGUAGAAUUCCCGGUGUAGCGGUGAAAUGCGUAGAGAUCGGGAGGAAUACCAGUGGCGAAGGCGGCCUUCUGGACUGACACUGACGCUGAGGUGCGAAAGCGUGGGUAGCAAACAGGAUUAGAUACCCUAGUAGUC